Molecule: long non-coding RNA, 265 nt
Filed under: Jatropha curcas
Lineage: Eukaryota; Viridiplantae; Streptophyta; Magnoliopsida; Malpighiales; Euphorbiaceae
Description: long non-coding RNA (JCUR_LNC003579)
Source: RNAcentral
CUGGAGUGGAUUCAUUUCUUCUAUACAUGUCAGGAGUAUCGUUGAUAUGCUCUUUAACCCUUAGCGUCUAGGUUGAAAUGUACACUUGAGAUGCCGGCUGUGAGUUUGUUCUUUCAGUGCCCGUCCGCUAUGUCGUCAAUUUGUGCCUUAGGACAGGCCUCUUAGUGACGAUUUAUUAGUGCUCCAAUGGUCGCCAAUCGACCCGUCAAGUUCUCUUUCGCUGCAGGUGAGGAGAUUUGCUUUAUUCUGCCUCUUUUUAGCCCUA